This 442-nucleotide ribosomal RNA is filed under the name uncultured bacterium. RNAcentral's name for it is "bacterial SSU rRNA". It matches the Rfam family "Bacterial small subunit ribosomal RNA", at positions 338 to 795 of the family's 1533-position model. The record is from RNAcentral.
CCUANGGGAGGCUGCAGUCAAGAAUAUUCCCCAAUGGCCGAAAGGCUGAGGGAGCGACGCCGCGUGUAUGAAGAAACCCUUCGGGGUGUAAAGUACUUUUAACCGGGACGAAACAAUGACGGUACCGGUUGAAUAAGGGGCUGCUAAACUCGUGCCAGCAGCAGCGGUAAUACGAGUGCCCCAAGCGUUAUCCGGAUUUAUUGGGCGUAAAGCGUACGUAGGUGGUUUAUCGCAUCUCCUGUUAAAUCCCGAGGCUCAACCUCGGGGCUGCGGGAGAGAUGGCUAAACUAGAGACCGGGAGAGGUAAGUGGAAUUGCUGGUGUAGGGGUUAAAUCCGUUAAUAUCAGCAAGAACACCUAAUGUGAAGACAGCUUACUGGAACGGUUCUGACACUAAGGUACGAAAGCGUGGGGAGCGAAUGGGAUUAGAUACCCCANUANUC